CUUGUCUCGAUGGGGGAGGGAGAGCGCUUCCCAGGGCCGCCCGCCCUGUCACUCAGCCCCAUCACCCUCUGUUCCCAUGAUGCGUCCCUGAAUGAGCCUGUUAAUUGUGUCCCAGGGUCUCGAUGGGGCUAAAGUGGGAGCCGUGACAUCCUCAGAAAGACUGGGAGGUCUGGAGCUUUUUCUGCACAUGCCGGUCAGGGUCUCCGGUGCCCUCCGCAUAGCACCGGGAUCCAUCGGACAGUUGCCACCCCUACGAUGCUUGGCAGAAGAGGAAGGAGAACUGGUGAGACUGCCCUGUCACCAGCGGGCAAUGCUCUGCGUCUGCUCCCCGUCUUUCCCGACUGGAAGCACUUUUUGGUACCUGAGGGGCUGGGUGGACAAAGGCUGUGCCUCCCCUGGAGCAGACUGUGGUCCUGAUCUUCAUUCCUCCUCCUCCCACACUGCAAGGAGAGACUCACCACUCUCCCCAUUUCACAGUUGGUUGAAUCCACGGAUGCAAAAUCUGCGGAUGUGGAGAGCUGACUGGACACGCAGCGGAAGAAAGAAAGAAAGAGUGUCUACACCAGGCAACACCAGGAACCCUUUUCUGCAUUCAACAGACCUCCCAGGCAAGGAUCCUCUUGCAAUGGAAAAGGCUGGGCCUUGCAAUGGUUCAGAGAAACCCUUCCAGUUUCUCAUACCACUCCAAACAACUGGGUGAUGUAUGGCAUUCCAUUAUCUUAGCACCUCCAGUUUCCCUUCCAUAAAACAAGGAUUAAAAAUCUCACCCCAAUCGGACUGUUGGGCAUCAAAUGAGAUCAUAUACAUGGGUGUCUACUGGAAACAUGGAAAAUUUCUGCUGUGCUUCUGGGAUGGAAAGGGGAGGAAAGAGGACCAGUGUAGAAGGUCACGCCACACGCAGCAGCAGGUGGAUCC
This 915-nucleotide long non-coding RNA is filed under the name Capra hircus (goat). RNAcentral's name for it is "lncRNA (ENSCHIG00010019917.1)". The record is from RNAcentral. Lineage: Eukaryota; Metazoa; Chordata; Mammalia; Artiodactyla; Bovidae.